CGCUGCAGCCGCCGACGCGUCGGUAGCCCCGGCGGCCGCGGGCUCCGACUCGGUCUUGGGCUCCUCGGUGGGCUUGGAGUCCUGCUUCUGAUCCACGGCGUUCUGCUGCUGAACAGGUGCGUCUUCUCCAGACAUGUUUGCAAAGAAGCUUUGGAAGCAACCACUCAAAAACAAAAACGGCAAAGUGUGCUGAGCGGUGGAGAGCAGUGGUGGCCGUCAACGCCGGGCUCAGGCAGUGAGAUGGCGAGGAGGAGACACCUUGUGGCUGCAAAGUGCCACUCAGCCCUUCUUGCAGAAGCCAAAGUCAGCAGUCACAAUCCAUAUCCCGCAAAGGCUUUGAGCUGUGCCGGUAUCAGGAUGAUUGAUUGAUUGUUUGUUGGUCGCUGUCAAGCAUGUUGUUACACUGUUCAUGUCUGUCUUUUUUCCCGCUAAUAGUUAUGCAUCAUGGGUGACCACAGCACGAAGCAUUCCUGGAAUCAUCACAGAGUGGAUUGGAAGAGGAACAAACAUGGAAUAGUCUCGUGUAGUGAGUCGGAAAAGGCCAGAAAAUGCUCCAAAAAGUCUCGAAAACAAGUCUGUGGCUGAAGAAAGACACGAGCACAAAGUUUGGAACCCCAGACACCUGAUGCCGUCUUCCAUCUAAGGCAUUGAGGUGGGGCUCAAUGGCGAGCACCCAGUGGCCGGGUUCCCACCCACGGGGCCCGGCUUAGCGCAGCCCGAAGAGACGACGUGGGUCCUCCUUCCCUUGGGGUCACCACCUGUGGGAGGGGCCAAGGGGGGUCGGGCGAAUAGUGAAAUGGGUGGCGCCCAAAAGCGGGGAUGUUAGCAGUCCAAUCCCUCGCUACAGAAGCUGGUUAUAUUGGUUAAGAUCUUAAAAAUGGCUAUUUGUGUACCCUGCUUAAGAACGCUAUGCCUACCUGCUUAAAGGUGCAGCAGAUAGCUGCACCUAACGCCCAUUGUAACGCCCAUUGUUUUCUUUGUAAUUAUUGUCAUGUAUAUUAUUUUUGUGUAUAUCUUUAUAUUAAAUAAUUUGGUUAUUUUG
Long non-coding RNA from Phyllopteryx taeniolatus (common seadragon), 1042 nucleotides. RefSeq lists it as uncharacterized. NCBI's taxonomy places the organism in Eukaryota, Metazoa, Chordata, Actinopteri, Syngnathiformes, Syngnathidae. The transcript is spliced from 4 exons. The record is from RefSeq and is a predicted model, not a curated record.